This 558-nucleotide ribosomal RNA is filed under the name uncultured bacterium. RNAcentral's name for it is "partial 16S ribosomal RNA". It matches the Rfam family "Bacterial small subunit ribosomal RNA", at positions 355 to 920 of the family's 1533-position model. The record is from RNAcentral.
UGGGGAAUAUUGCACAAUGGGCGAAAGCCUGAUGCAGCGACGCCGCGUGAGGGAUGACGGCCUUCGGGUUGUAAACCUCUUUCAGCAGGGAAGAAGCGAAAGUGACGGUACCUGCAGAAGAAGCGCCGGCUAACUACGUGCCAGCAGCCGCGGUAAUACGUAGGGCGCAAGCGUUGUCCGGAAUUAUUGGGCGUAAAGAGCUCGUAGGCGGUUAGUCGCGUCUGCUGUGAAAACUCGAGGCUCAACCUCGGGCUUGCAGUGGGUACGGGCUGACUAGAGUGCGGUAGGGGGUGACUGGAAUUCCUGGUGUAGCGGUGGAAUGCGCAGAUAUCAGGAGGAACACCGAUGGCGAAGGCAGGUCACUGGGCCGCAACUGACGCUGAGGAGCGAAAGCAUGGGGAGCGAACAGGAUUAGAUAGCCCUGGUAGUCCAUGCCGUAAACGUUGGGCACUAGGUGUGGGGUCCAUUUCCACGGAUUCCGUGCCGCAGCAAACGCAUUAAGUGCCCCGCCUGGGGAGUACGGCCGCAAGGCUAAAACUCAAAUGAAUUGACGGGGUC